ACAUGACCACCCAGCUGAGCCUGGCUAAGAUCAGCCAACCCUCAACUGACCUGCAGAUCUAAAAGAUUGCUGUGUAAGAAACAACAAGAAGAAGACCUCGUUCACAGGGCCUGCCCCUCCCUGUGCAGCAUUACUAAUUAGCAGGAAGGAUGACUGAGGGUAAGAAGGGAGUGGAAGACUUGGCAGGGUGAGUGAUGAGAACUAAGGGAUCCCUUAGUGCCUGCAUGUGUUUCCUGGUCAAGAGUGAAUUCUAUGAGCCUCCCAGGAUGUUUGACAUCUUGAAUUCCUUGGGAAGGAUACGUAUUAAUUGCAAAUGGCUUCUUGGUUAGAGUGAAAUAGAACUCCAGUCUACUUCUCCUCUCUCGGCGCUGGGACCUCAUCUGGCUCUAACUUGUGCAGGUCACUGGUGACUGUCAAAACAUCCAGAAAGUGAUGAGGCAGAACUCAGACACCAGGAAGGAACAACAGGAACAAAGUGAGGUUACAUAUGCAAAAUGAUUUAGAUGGCCCACAUCAGCAAUUCCUGGACAUUAUCUUUCAAAAACACCAGUCAGCAUCCCCUGGUAAUGGGCAAAGAGACUCCUUUUGGUGACUGUGGCCUUCUUUCAGUCAGGGGCAUAGCAGAUGGCCGUCCGUUGUUCAUCCUAGCUUGGUGACCAAAGCAAUCUUAUGCCUAGGCCACCAGAAAAUCAAACCAAAUCAAAUCCAAGCAGCACAGAAUGGAAGGAGGAAGACAGAACUGCAUUCUACCAUCCUAUCCAGCGCAGGUGAAGAAAGAUGCCCACAGACCUGCCCUCCACCCCCACAGCAUGAGCAGGCCAUAGACACACAGAGCCGAGACGACCACUACGUGACAUAGCAUAGGAAGAAGAAGACACAGACCUGUGGACCACCAUGCCAACCAGCUGCAUGACCAGCCUUCAGCAGGAACCACCACAGUGUGAAAGUAUUUGGUGGUGGUCAGAUAGGAGAGAAAGAGAGAUGGAGCAGCUUGAACAUUAUGAAGAGCGACAGAACUGGAGACUCAAGGGUGGAGAUGAAUCGUCUGUUGUGAGUGGACCUACAGCCAUGGUGAGGUCCCAGCCUAAGCUGCUGCUGAGGGCCAUGUCUGGGACUGUGGCUAUGCAUCAUCAGGGAUCAGUAUUGAUGUCCCCAUGAGAGGUUAUGUGGGUGUCCAGAGGAUGUACAGAACUGGCCCUGCCCCUCACUGGCUCUGGAGAGCCUCACUGGUGGUAGCACUCACUUGUAUUGCCCAGUGGGCCCUGCGCUUAGUCAGGCAGCACAUUGGAGCUGGCCCCAGUGGUGGGGGAGUGGUAGAGCAGGCCCCAACUGUGUGAAUGUGGGAGAACUAACCCCUCCAUUUGUCUGCUUAGAAUGACAUGGACACAGAGGUGAUCUGCACCCCCAACCCUGGCAAUCAAGAAAGCUGUCCCCAGGUUCUUGAGCACAAGAGAACUAGUCUUGCCCUUCAUCUGCUGAAGCACUUGGGACAGCAGACCCUGCACCUCACCUGGACAGUACAGCAGAGCUGAUGCUGGUGAUGGGGGACCAAGUGAGCUGGCCUUGAGGGUAAGAGUAUGGGAGAGCUGGCCUAGCCACUCAUCUGCCAUGAGGUAGUGUGGAUGCUCACCACCUACAGUAAUCAGUAGUAGGGAGAGCUGUCCCUGAGAGCAGGAGAGCUAGUCCCUCUCUGAGGCUACUCAGUCACUGGCUGUAGCACUUAAGAAAUUGGAAACCUCACCUGGGCAACACAGUGGAGCUUGCCCUGGUGGUGAAAGCACAGGUGAGCACCAAGGAUGAGAGAACAAGAGAGCUGAUCUAGCCUCUGGCAGGCUGCAGCAUUUGGUUAGAGUGAGUUUGACUGGACAGCACAGUGGACUGGCCCAGGAGGCACAAACACAGAUGAGCUGACCCCAAGGAUGUUACAGCAGGAACACCAACCCUGCCUCCUGCCAAUGGUGGCACUGGGUGGCCUAGCCAGAGCAGUUCUGGAAAGCUAGCCAUGAUGGUGUGGAUAAGGAAGAGCCAGUUGGAUGACCAGAUCAGCUACCACCCAAGAUAAGAUCUAGGGCUCUAAGCUGACCCACCCCAAAAUCUGUAUCAUCUGCUACUGCUUGGGACCUGUGAAAAGGCCAGUCCUGGUGACCCAAAGCUGCAGGAUCUCCAUGACACAGGGCAACACCAGGAUAACUGGGAAGAGGCCUGGGGAGGAGUCAAUACUGAUGGUGUCACAGAAGCCAGCGAUCUUGGACCAGACGAGUGAUGUACUGCAAUGAAUACUUGCAAGUGACGAUGUAUGGACAGAGAUAUAUACAUGGGUCACACUGUGAUACACUACAGCUUCCAUAAUGAAAUAUUUUCUG
RNAcentral lists this long non-coding RNA (2363 nucleotides) under Mus musculus (house mouse). RNAcentral describes it as "predicted gene, 29685 (Gm29685)". The record is from RNAcentral. Lineage: Eukaryota; Metazoa; Chordata; Mammalia; Rodentia; Muridae.